AUUGAACGCUGGCGGCAUGCCUUACACAUGCAAGUCGAACGGCAGCAUGAUCUAGCUUGCUAGAUUGAUGGCGAGUGGCGAACGGGUGAGUAAUACAUCGGAACGUGCCCUGUAGUGGGGGAUAACUAGUCGAAAGAUUAGCUAAUACCGCAUACGACCUGAGGGUGAAAGUGGGGGACCGCAAGGCCUCAUGGUAUAGGAGCGGCCGACGUCUGAUUAGCUAGUUGGUGGGGUAAAGGCCCACCAAGGCGACGAUCAGUAGCUGGUCUGAGAGGACGAUCAGCCACACUGGGACUGAGACACGGCCCAGACUCCUACGGGAGGCAGCAGUGGGGAAUUUUGGACAAUGGGCGAAAGCCUGAUCCAGCAAUGCCGCGUGUGUGAAGAAGGCCUCGGUUGUAAG
RNAcentral lists this ribosomal RNA (403 nucleotides) under uncultured Ralstonia sp. Its description in RNAcentral is "bacterial SSU rRNA". It matches the Rfam family "Bacterial small subunit ribosomal RNA", at positions 30 to 429 of the family's 1533-position model. The record is from RNAcentral. Lineage: Bacteria; Pseudomonadati; Pseudomonadota; Betaproteobacteria; Burkholderiales; Burkholderiaceae.